RNAcentral lists this ribosomal RNA (428 nucleotides) under uncultured bacterium. Its description in RNAcentral is "bacterial SSU rRNA". It matches the Rfam family "Bacterial small subunit ribosomal RNA", at positions 28 to 438 of the family's 1533-position model. The record is from RNAcentral.
GACUAACGCUGGCGGCGUGCCUCAUACAUGCAAGUCGAACGGACUUAUGGAAGCUUGCUUCUAUAGGUUAGUGGCGCACGGGUGAGUAACGCGUGGGUAACCUGCCCUUGAAUCUGGGACAACAAUUCGAAAGGAUUGCUAAUACCGGAUACCUUCCAAUUUACAGCGAUGUUUUUUGGAAGAAAGACGGUCGAAUUAUGGCUGUCGUUCAUGGAGGGGCCCGCGUUCCAUUAGCUAGUUGGUGGGGUAAUGGCCUACCAAGGCGAUGAUGGAUAACCGGCUUGAGAGAGUGGUCGGUCACACUGGAACUGAGACACGGUCCAGACUCCUACGGGAGGCAGCAGUAGGGAAUAUUCCGCAAUGGGCGAAAGCCUGACGGAGCGACGCCGCGUGUGUGAUGAAGGCCUUCGGGUUGUAAAACACUGUUG